RNAcentral lists this transfer RNA (73 nucleotides) under Pharyngomonas kirbyi. RNAcentral's name for it is "tRNA-Asp". It matches the Rfam family "tRNA". Rfam says of the family: Transfer RNA (tRNA) molecules are approximately 80 nucleotides in length. Their secondary structure includes four short double-helical elements and three loops (D, anti-codon, and T loops). Further hydrogen bonds mediate the characteristic L-shaped molecular structure. tRNAs have two regions of fundamental functional importance: the anti-codon, which is responsible for specific mRNA codon recognition, and the 3' end, to which the tRNAs corresponding amino acid is attached (by aminoacyl-tRNA synthetases). tRNAs cope with the degeneracy of the genetic code in two manners: having more than one tRNA (with a specific anti-codon) for a particular amino acid; and 'wobble' base-pairing, i.e. permitting non-standard base-pairing at the 3rd anti-codon position. Lineage: Eukaryota; Heterolobosea; Pharyngomonadea; Pharyngomonadida; Pharyngomonadidae. The record is from RNAcentral.
GAGAGAAUAACUCAGGAGGUAGAGUGUCGGUCUGUCACGCCGAAAGCCAUGGGUUCGAGUCCCAUUUCUCUCG